AAGGCCAAGCUGGCUGAGCUGGCCAGAUGGUACGACUACAUCACUACCUGGGUGAAGGCUGUGACAGAGCAGGGCACCAAGCUGUUCAAUGAGGAGCUCAACCUGCUUUCAGUGGCCUACACAUACAUGGUCAGGGGAUCACAGGUCUGCCUAGAGGGUCACCUUGAGCAUUGAGCAGAAAACUGUUACCUCCGACAAGAAGUUGCAGCUGAUUAAGGGCUAUCAGGAGAAAGUAGAGUCUGAGCUGAGAUCCAUCUGUACCACAGUCCUGGAAUUGCUGGAUGAGUAUUUAAUAGCUGAUGCAACUAAUCCAGAGAGUAAGGUCUUCUAAUUGAAAAUGAAGGGAGAUUACUUCCUGUACCUUGCCGAAGUUGCAAGUGGUGAUGAUUGAAAACAAGAUAGAUAAUUCCCAAGGAGCUUACCAAGAAGUAUUUGAUAUAAGCAAGAAAGAGAGUCAACUCACCCACCCAAUCUACCUGGGGCUUGCUCUUAACUUUUCUGUAUUUUACUGUGAGACCCUUAAUAAUGCAGAGCUCACCUGCAUGCUGAAUAAAACAGAUACACUGCAGAACUUGAUACACGGAAUGAAGAUUCAUACAAAGACAGCACCCUUAUCUGCUUAGAGACAACCUAACACUAUGGAUAUCAGACAGUGCAA
Molecule: long non-coding RNA, 658 nt
Filed under: Homo sapiens (human)
Lineage: Eukaryota; Metazoa; Chordata; Mammalia; Primates; Hominidae
Description: non-protein coding lnc-HSD17B6-1:2
Source: RNAcentral